RNAcentral lists this ribosomal RNA (301 nucleotides) under uncultured bacterium. RNAcentral's name for it is "partial 16S ribosomal RNA". It matches the Rfam family "Bacterial small subunit ribosomal RNA", at positions 509 to 808 of the family's 1533-position model. The record is from RNAcentral.
CAGCAGCCGCGGUAAUACGUAGGUGGCAAGCGUUGUCCGGAAUUAUUGGGCGUAAAGGGCUCGCAGGCGGUUUCCUAAGUCUGAUGUGAAAGCCCCCCGGCUCAACCGGGGAGUGUCAUUGGAAACUGGGAAACUUGAGUGCAGAAGAGGAGAGUGGAAUUCCACGUGUAGCGGUGAAAUGCGUAGAGAUGUGGAGGAACACCAGUGGCGAAGGCGACUCUCUGGUCUGUAACUGACGCUGAGGAGCGAAAGCGUGGGGAGCGAACAGGAUUAGAUACCCGAGUAGUCCCUGUCUCUUAUA